CGGGGGGGGGGGCCUAAUACAUGCCAAGUCGUACGCUUCUUUUUCCACCGGAGCUUGCUCCACCGGAAAAAGAAGAGUGGCGAACGGGUGAGUAACACGUGGGUAACCUGCCCAUCAGAAGGGGAUAACACUUGGAAACAGGUGCUAAUACCGUAUAACAAUCGAAACCGCAUGGUUUUGAUUUGAAAGACGCUUUCGGGUGUCGCUGAUGGAUGGACCCGCGGUGCAUUAGCUAGUUGGUGAGGUAACGGCUCACCAAGGCCACGAUGCAUAGCCGACCUGAGAGGGUGAUCGGCCACAUUGGGACUGAGACACGGCCCAAACUCCUACGGGAGGCAGCAGUAGGGAAUCUUCGGCAAUGGACGAAAGUCUGACCGAGCAACGCCGCGUGAGUGAAGAAGGUUUUCGGAUCGUAAAACUCUGUUGUUAGAGAAGAACAAGGAUGAGAGUAACUGUUCAUCCCUUGACGGUAUCUAACCAGAAAGCCACGGCUAACUACGUGCCAGCAGCCGCGGUAAUACGUAGGUGGCAAGCGUUGUCCGGAUUUAUUGGGCGUAAAGCGAGCGCAGGCGGUUUCUUAAGUCUGAUGUGAAAGCCCCCGGCUCAACCGGGGAGGGUCAUUGGAAAACUGGGAGACUUGAGUG
This 644-nucleotide ribosomal RNA is filed under the name Enterococcus faecium. RNAcentral's name for it is "bacterial SSU rRNA". It matches the Rfam family "Bacterial small subunit ribosomal RNA", at positions 36 to 648 of the family's 1533-position model. Lineage: Bacteria; Bacillati; Bacillota; Bacilli; Lactobacillales; Enterococcaceae. The record is from RNAcentral.